Molecule: ribosomal RNA, 253 nt
Filed under: uncultured bacterium
Lineage: Bacteria
Description: partial 16S ribosomal RNA
Rfam family: Archaeal small subunit ribosomal RNA
Source: RNAcentral
UACCAGCACCCCGAGUGGUCGGGACGAUUAUUGGGCCUAAAGCAUCCGUAGCCGGUCCUACAAGUCUUCCGUUAAAUCCACCUGCUUAACAGAUGGGCUGCGGAAGAUACUAUAGGGCUAGGAGGCGGGAGGGGCAAGCGGUACUCAGUGGGUAGGGGUAAAAUCCUCUGAUCCAUUGAAGACCACCAGUGGCGAAGGCGGCUUGCCAGAACGCGCUCGACGGUGAGGGAUGAAAGCUGGGGGAGCAAACCGG